RNAcentral lists this long non-coding RNA (4007 nucleotides) under Gallus gallus (chicken). Its description in RNAcentral is "lncRNA (ENSGALG00010026723.1)". Lineage: Eukaryota; Metazoa; Chordata; Aves; Galliformes; Phasianidae. The record is from RNAcentral.
UGCUGUGACAGAUCAUGAGAUACACUGUGUUGCUCACCUCUUGCUGCUCACUGCUGCUGACCCUACCACUGAAGUUACUUGGAUGAAUAACUUCAGGUAGAUGACACUUUGGAAAACUGAGGAUAGACCACUAACGGCAGAGAUCUCUGCCAAGUGCCCACCUUGCAGGCUUGCCUCCUUUCAGAUUAUAAGUGUUGACAUUCCCUGCACAAAUCUGAACUCUUUGUGUUCUUCAUUUGAUAUCCUGUUCAUUUCCUGGUCUGAGAAAGAGAACACCGAGCAGAAUGGCAAACUGCGUCACUAGGCAGGGUGAUGCUGCCCAGACCUUUUCUUGCCAGGCCUGAAACUGCUCCCAAUUGCAAUAACAAGAGCUAGUUUGUGAGGCAGCGGGUCCCACUAAUGGGGUAAGAUCAGUAUAUUUCACGUGGCCCGGAACCACUGACUUUUAAGUCAAGAAUUAUGCUUAAAUAAGUUAAUAGAAAAAAAAUCAUAGCCUGCUUUGCCCCCCCCAAUUCUGCUUUCAUGUGUGUAAGAUUAAACACCUCCUUCUUCACUGUUUUAGCUCUUCCCUGACUUCCCCUGGCUUUAUCCCCACCUCCUGUAGCUGUCCUCUCCCCCUUGGCCAAGCAGCGGCUCCUCUGACCUGGCCAGACCACCUCUUUCACUCAGAGGAGAAUGGCAGGGAAUGGGAACAGCCUUGGCUCUGCCUCUGCCACCUCUGCUCCGAGCUCCCCUGGCCCAGCAAAGUGGGUCAGACCCCGUGUGGCAGAGCCCUGGCUUCCAGAACCCAGGUGAAGUACCUUCACCCGUCAGCGAGUUAAUAGUUCUUCUGCAGAGCUGCUUUGUACCCAUCAGUCUGAAAACUUGAAGGAUAAAAAAGGCUGCAGUCCACUGUGGGAAAGGGGAAGGUUUUGACUUUGCUUUGUCAGAUUUAUUUCUAGGCUCAUGACUUCACAAGAAAAAAAUCCAUAGAAAUUGCAUCGUUCCGAUUCCCAUCACACCCUUUUCUUCCUUCUCUGUCUCGAUCUUAUAGGCUGCUAUUUUAAAAACUGUUUGCAGUUGAAAAUAAUGCUGUGCAUCACUGAGAGGGCUGGAAUGCUGCCUUCCCCAGGGGAAAGCACUUGCCCUCCCAUCCCUGCGGGAUGGGGCAGCAUUCAGCCACAUGUCUCUGAGCAGCUCUUCUGCCUCCUGCUCAGUGCUCCCUUUGCUCGGUCUCCUUCCUCAUGCUCUCUGGACAAGGUAAUUCUCAACCAGAGCAGGGCAAUGUGCCUCCAGAUACACUGGUGUGUCCGUGUGCAGGGCCUUUAAAGAGCUGGGGUAUACGGGAGCGUGGCGGUUAAACGCUGAUGUGUGCAUUAAGUUGUUGUGGUCUAUUUUUAGCAGUUGUGGCCUCUGUGUAUUACAACCCGAAGUCACCUCCCUGUUUAUAGUCACAAAAAAGCAACUAAAAAAAUACAUUAAUCAGACCUGCAGACUGGCCAAAAAGGAAUCUUGUCUCGGUAUUUGUAGAACAAACAAACAUUAGCAACCAUAGGAGUGUCUUUGUGUUCUCUUUGGUUAAACGUGGACCUCCUCUGCUGCUGACCCGUUGGCUGAGCAGUAGAGGUCCCAGCGUUUGUGCUGUGAGCAGUUGUCACCAACACCUGGGGUUCUUUAGGACAGUGCCACAAAGCUAUGAUGGCCAUUAGGAAGUAGGAGGCCAGGUUUUGCACUUAGUGAUUGAGGCCUGACCCUUUGUUUGACUUAAAUCAUAGUUACUGCAGCAUACCUGUGCUGAGAUGAGCUCCCUAAGCAUAGCUGCUCCUGGUGUGCACCAGUGAGAGUCAGAAGAGCACCAGACUGCUCAUGCUCUCUUUUCUUGUCUGGUCUGAAAAAAAGCCCAAAUCUGCAUAUCCCUCUGGCUAGUGCAGUGCUGGGGUUUCUCAUCUCACACAGUUGGCUUUGUUGGCUUUGCGCUCUGCUCUGAAUGCAGAGGAGCCCUUCUUUCACGUUUGCUAUCUGAUUUCAUGUUUCCUCGUGCCCAAUCUGUCUGACUGCCUUUGCUUUUCUCAGAAUGGCUCCAAUCGCCCCUUUUUGCCAUCUCAGAGGAAAGGCACAAUUGCAUUAUUGUACUGUGUGAAUGCGUUUUCUCCUGUGUGUAGCUGAAUGGGAUAUUAUUUAAAUAUCUUAAGCAUGCUCCUAGUUGGAGUAAUGACAUGCUAGGAAUGGCAGAGUGAGGAGUAUUCACAUUCAAACUCCUGAAUUUUGGUGAACGAGUAAUCAAAGCUCCAUCACUUCCUACACAGUUCAACAUUUCGUUAAGCAAACGGUUACCAUAAAAACACCAUCUGACCACAUUAAAACAAAUAAACAGAAACCCCCAAAUGGUUAUUUAUGGUGAUCUUCAGGUCACGUGAAAUCUUUGCUGAGCCCUUUGCAAAGGAGAAGCUGACUUGAGGUGCUGAAGGCCAACCAGUGCCCGCUCCUGAACCAGCCACCCUGCUUCAGCUCACCUCAUGCUACCCUGGACCGGGCAUCAGUGCCAGCACCCGAGAGCCCACGCUCCGUGGCAGAUCAGGGGGAUGAUCUGCAAUAAAAAAUGACCUGGUAAGAUACGUUUCCUUGUUUCUGUGCGUGCGUGCUCAAAAGCGGGCUCGGUUUCACUGCGUGAUCCAUGGAAAAGCUGUACCAAGGUCAGUGCUGGAGCACAGGCAGGCAGCAGCAAGGGGUGAAAUGGAGCAUCCCUGGGAGCCAGGAGGGAAAACAACACUCACUGAUAUUACUGCCCAUGAUACUGACUUCUGAAGCCGCUGCCUUAGAGCAAAGCAGCUCAGUUAGUGCCUGGAGUCUGGUCCUUAGUGAGGCUGUUCCUACUAUUUACAUCUUUUUGCUUACAGCUUUAUUCUCAGCAACAGGUUAGUCAUUCCCUUGGCAAGUUUAUUGCUAUAAAUUUGCUUAUAUGCAGUUAUUCAAAAGUCAGCGUGUCAUGCUUUAAUUUAAUCUAAUCUCUUUGUUUAAACGAGAAACCCUGACCUUUUAUCAUCACAGUCACUAUAAUUACAACAACACUUUAACUAAAAAAGCCUUCAACUAAGUUUACAUUUAACUCAGUCAUUGUUUGUUUCCUGCAAAAUGUUUCUGUAAUUAAUUUCAUUGGGUUUGACCUGAAGCCUAUGGAGGUGAAUGCAGAGACUUUCAUCAUCCUGAACAGGCUGCAGAUCAGACAGCCCAUGACUGCUCGAAGAGGCAAGGGUAAAGGACUUGAAAUGGAAACCACCUGGUUUGCUGUGUGUUUUUGGAGGGUUUUUUUCACAUAGCAGCAUCAAACUAAUGGCAGUGCUGCAGAGGUGGAAACUCGUGUAGACACAGCCCUGGAAAGCAGAAGUUUACACUCUAUUUCCAAUAAGAGUACUAUGCCAACCAUAGAGCAAGCUGCACUGUGUUACACUCAGACACCCUCCAAGAUACAACGAGAGACAGAAGGGGAGGUCUGUGGCAGAACUGGGACUAAAAUGCAGAUAAUAUGUACUGUGCCCAAACCGAGGGCUCGUCUGUCCUCAGGCUGACUGCAGUGAACUGCUGCCCAUCCCAGCACACGCCAAGAGCCCAGACGUAACCACUUCGUACAUUCCCAGUCUCCAGCAACCAGCAGCUCUGGGAUGGAACUGUGUAAAGAUUGCUAGGACAAGCCGAAUGAAAAAGGAACCAAGUGUGCCUGGAAAAUGAAUGGCUAGGAUUCACCAGAAUGAGCUGGAUGAAAAGAGAGGUAAAAAUGCACCACCCUGACGGCCUUAUGAUGGUGACUGAAGGCACAGUUGGACAGAAGCAUUUCCUCUAGGAGACAAAAUUUUCCCUUCCUUCCUCGAGACCUUCAAGUGACCCUACUGAAUUGUUAAAAUCCCAUUAGAAAGUGGUUGGUGGGAACAUGUGCAAUAAAUAGCUGCUAAAAUCAAAGGCAGCCUUGCUGAUACAAAAUCAAUGCGUUGCUGGUGGUGCAGGCAGUGUUCUUCUCUGGGAAAUGCAACAGC